CCAGUAACGGCGAGUGAAGCGGCAAGAGCUCAAAUUUGAAAUCUGGCCUCCCCCGGGGGCCCGAGUUGUAAUUUGCAGAGGAUGCUUCGGGUGCGGCCGCCGUCUAAGUUCCUUGGAACAGGACGUCAGAGAGGGUGAGAAUCCCGUCUUGGGCGGGCGGUCCGCGCCCGUGUGAAGCUCCUUCGACGAGUCGAGUUGUUUGGGAAUGCAGCUCUAAGCGGGUGGUAAAUUUCAUCUAAAGCUAAAUAUUGGCCGGAGACCGAUAGCGCACAAGUAGAGUGAUCGAAAGGUUAAAAGCACCUUGAAAAGGGAGUUAAACAGCACGUGAAAUUGUUGAAAGGGAAGCGCUUGCGGCCAGACUCGGGGGCGGGGUUCAGCGGGUGCUCGUCGCCCGUGUAUUCCUCGUCUCCCGGGCCAGCAUCAGUUUCGACGGCCGGUCAAAGGCCCCCGGAAUGUGUCGUCUCUCGGGACGUCUUAUAGCCGGGGGUGCAAUGCGGCCCGUCGGGACUGAGGAACGCGCUCCGGCUCGGAUGCUG
Molecule: ribosomal RNA, 536 nt
Filed under: Trichophyton mentagrophytes
Lineage: Eukaryota; Fungi; Ascomycota; Eurotiomycetes; Onygenales; Arthrodermataceae
Description: eukaryotic LSU rRNA
Rfam family: Eukaryotic large subunit ribosomal RNA
Source: RNAcentral